This 498-nucleotide ribosomal RNA is filed under the name uncultured bacterium. RNAcentral describes it as "bacterial SSU rRNA". It matches the Rfam family "Bacterial small subunit ribosomal RNA", at positions 8 to 507 of the family's 1533-position model. The record is from RNAcentral.
AGAGUUUGAUCAUGGCUCAGAAUAAACGUUGGCGGCGUGCUUAACACAUGCAAGUCGAGCGAGAAAGGUCUUCGGACUGAGUACAGCGGCAAACGGGUGAGUAACACGUGGAAUCUACCUUUUAGUGAAGAAUACCCUCGAGAAAUCGAGGUUAAUACUGCAUACGUCUCGAAAGAGAGAAAGAUGGCCUCUUUGCUGUCGCUGAAAGAUGAGCCUGCGUACUAUUAGCUAGUUGGUAGGGUAAAGGCCUACCAAGGCUAUGAUGGUUAGCCGGCCUGAGAGGGUGUACGGCCACACUGGAACUUAGACACGGUCCAGACUCCUACGGGAGGCAGCAGUGAGGAAUAUUGCGCAAUGGGCGAAAGCCUGACGCAGCGACGCCGCGUGGAGGAUGAAGGUCUUAGGACUGUAAACUUCUGUUAAGCGGGAAGAAAGACGAAGUGUUAAUACCACUUUAUGAUGACGGUACCGCUAAAGAAAGCACCGGCUAACUUCGUG